GAUUUCUUUAAAAUAAUAAAUAAUAAUCACUAUAACUUGUAGAAGUACAGUAUGCUACAUCAUCUGUCACUGUUUAACAACACAUUGAUUAAUUAAUUAAAGCUCAAUUAUUAACACAUUAUAUCUUGUUUAGUGUAAAAAUGAAACACUGUGGUUUUACAGGGCGUUAUGUCCCAGACUAUUUCUUGGGCCGGAGGAGUAACUUCCUGGAGUCUUGUUGUCAGGAUGAGGUUGCCAGGCAACCAGUGGAGACUCCAGGUAGUUACAGUGAUAAUGAGUGACCAUUAAAGGUGCUGAUAUGUGAAUUAUGUUACAUUUGAACAGAGCUAGGCUAGCUGUUCCCCCCUGUUUGCAGUCUUUAUGCUAAGCUAAGCUAACAGGCCGCUGGCUGUAGUUUACAGAUAUAAGAGUGGUUUAAAUCUUCUCUUCUAACUCUGCAAUAAAUUAGAGGAAGAUGAGAAACAUAUUUUCACAAAAUGUUGAACUAAUCCUUUAAGUGAUGAUAAAGUAAAAAGUCAAUUUGGUUGCAGUGAUUAAUUAAUUUACUUUUGACAAAACAUGUCAUAUUUUGAAGUACGAUGUAAUUUCUCAAACAAAUCUUUCAGUUACAGAUCUUACAAACUUUAAAUAGUUAUUAUCAUCCCUUCCCCCCAUCUGUGAAUUCAUUGUACAACAGGAAACAUUCAAACAAACCAAUGAAUAAAAAGUUUGACUGCGGUCAAGAAGAUGUUUCAUAAAGCCCUCCCCAUGCUUCAUUUUGCAGGAAGGAUUUUUUAACAGUUAGCUGUGAACUUGAAUUUAGUUUUCUUUCAGACUCACUGAGGGUCACAACAGUAAAAUGUCUGAGGCUGAUGGAAUAGUGCAGCUCUUUCAUCAGCAGUUUGGUUUUGUGUUUUGUGUCGCAGGGACCGCUUCCUCAGAGGCUGAACCCACAUACUCUGAAGUCAGGAUCUUGAAGACUCAUCCAUCCUGCUGGUCAACAGGUUCCCAACAACACCCAGUGUCAAAUGGAGGGUCAAAGGUCACACCAGAGAGAGUGGUCAUAGUAGUUCUCAGUGCUCUCCUGGCAGCUGCUGUCAUCGCUCUCGGCUUUACCUGUGAGUUUGUUCUUUUUAAAGUGAAAUUUAUCUGGAUUGAUUUAUAAAAUCUCAUCAUUGUUUUAAAGAACAGAAUUUAUGGAUUAAAGGCUUUUUCAGAACUGUUGAUGUAAAUUCAUCAGAAAUUAAUUGAGAAAUG
Molecule: long non-coding RNA, 1236 nt
Filed under: Dicentrarchus labrax (European seabass)
Lineage: Eukaryota; Metazoa; Chordata; Actinopteri; Moronidae
Description: lncRNA (ENSDLAG00005032631.1)
Source: RNAcentral